Molecule: ribosomal RNA, 466 nt
Filed under: uncultured bacterium
Lineage: Bacteria
Description: bacterial SSU rRNA
Rfam family: Bacterial small subunit ribosomal RNA
Source: RNAcentral
UAGGGAAUAUUGGACAAUGGGUGAGAGCCUGAUCCAGCCAUGCCGCGUGCAGGAAGAAGGCGUUAUGCGUUGUAAACUGCUUUUGCCAGGGGAUAAAAAGACCGUGCGCGGUUAAUUGAAGGUACCUGGUGAAUAAGCCACGGCUAACUACGUGCCAGCAGCCGCGGUAAUACGUAGGUGGCAAGCGUUGUCCGGAUUUAUUGGGUUUAAAGGGUGCGUAGGUGGCCCUGUAAGUCAGUGGUGAAAUAUCUCAGCUUAACUGAGAGGGUGCCAUUGAUACUGCAGGGCUUGAGUACAGAUGAGGUAGGCGGAAUUGACGGUGUAGCGGUGAAAUGCAUAGAUAUCGUCAAGAACACCGAUAGCGAAGGCAGCUUACCAAGCUGUAACUGACACUGAGGCACGAAAGUGUGGGGAUCAAACAGGAUUAGAUACCCUAGUAGUCCCUGAGCGGGCUGGCAAGGCGCAU